GGCAGCUCCGCGGGUGCGUGGCCGGUGAUGGUUGGGAGUUCUGGUCCCAGGCAAGGUGGGGACUGGGCACGUCGUCAAUACGAUAGAGAACGUCACUUUUCACCAUGAAGGGUUCUUCUGGAGGUGUUGGUUUAAUGGGAUUGUGGAAGAGAAUGACUCCAAUAUUUGGAAGUUCUGGUACACCAAUCAGCCACCGUCCAAGAACUGCACACACGCUUACCUGUCUCCGUACCCCUUCAUGAGAGGCGAGCACAACUCGACCUCCUAUGACUCUGCAGUUAGUCUUCUUUGAUU
Molecule: small RNA, 294 nt
Filed under: Pongo abelii (Sumatran orangutan)
Lineage: Eukaryota; Metazoa; Chordata; Mammalia; Primates; Hominidae
Description: processed transcript
Source: RNAcentral